Molecule: RNA transcript, 1343 nt
Organism: Frieseomelitta varia
Lineage: Eukaryota; Metazoa; Arthropoda; Insecta; Hymenoptera; Apidae
Exons: 3
Source: RefSeq, a predicted model, not a curated record
GAUAGCACGCGGCUACGGCCUGCACACCGUGAACUUCAACGCCGGUAAAAUAUACUUGUUCACAAGGAACCCUGGCGAGCUCGUAGAAAAAAUGCGAUCGAAACCGUUAUUACUGGACGUGUACAGAAUCAAAGAAAUUGUUAUCUGCCCCGAGGAAGUGUUAAAGGACCCAUUAGGGAACGCUGUAAUUCCAAUACCAGGUUGCCUCUGCGACUACGUGAUGAUGCCGGGCAACGAUAUAUUUCACCUGCCUAAGCCAUAUGAGAUAAAAAAUACUUUUUGCCUCGUAGACGAGGAAUACAAACCGACCGGUUACAUACACAUCUUCUUUAGGAUGACCUGUUUCGGAACGUACACUGUCCAUCCGUUUUCGAUCGCCAACAAAAAAUUGUUAUUCAAAAACACCGGCUCCUUCAAUGAGUUUUUAUGCACCAAAGUGCCGUAUCUGGACGAAGAUGAGAGAAGAGCUGCCGAGGCGGGUGCGAAGUUCUGCCAACCUGACAAGGUGCCCGAGGAGAGUGAGUUGGACACACCUCCGAGGCCGGUGAAUAUAGUCGGUUUAAUACUGGCCUGUAAAGAAUUAUCGCGGAGAGACGGGUAUCCCCUAAAUGUCAUUCCUCCCAACUACCCGCCGAAAAUACCGCAGGUACACGUUGAGGAAGUUGCAUUUGACAUCGACAAAGCGAGACGAAAAGGAUUCGAAGAGACAGUUGAAGAGGAACCUGGUAUGAUUGUUGACACAAAACACAGAGCGUGUAUCAAUAUUAGAUGCCCUGGUAACAUUUGCUCGGGUCAAAAGUAACCAUAUAUUAUUUUUUUGUAAAAAUUGACAAUCCUGUGAAAUGACAAAAAUAUUAAGAAAACAAACGGCGUGCAUCAAUCGAGCAAAAGUUUCGUGACGUUUCAAUCGUAUAGUACACAAACGACUACUAUAAAUGUCGGGUUAAUGGUACCUCCACUUGAGCCGUAAGGCUCUAAGUCACUUUUCUGUGCGGAACCAAAUACAGAGGAAUGUACGUGACCACUCCUUCCAAUCAUGAGAUUUUGUCGAAGUUGCAAGCAACGAGUUCAACACUGAGAAAAAAAGCUGGAGUUUUCGGGAUCGCGUAGCAAUUAAGCAUACAUCGUGUGGAUCAUCCCUAGGAUAGGAUAAAACACACAUAGAAAGAAAACGGGGAGCCUAGUUUUGAGGAGGCAUAUAAAAAAAGUUCGCAAAUUAUUCCACUUAAUUAGGUUUUUCUCGUAAUUAGUGCGAACUGUCACAAAAUGGACAUGGCGGUAACUCAUUGCACUUACACGUAGAGGAUAUAUUCGGAGCCUUGCUGGUAGCACACGGAAACCAA